CAAGCCGUUUGAAUAUGUUAUCAAGAUAUUGAUAUGUAAAUGUUUUUCUCAUUUUUAUCCGAUAUUCUUAACAAUUGUGCAUUAAACAGUGAUAGUUAACCAACUUCCAUGGCUACAAUCAAUGACAUUAUGUUGACUUUAAAACCCCCGAAAACCAAAAAUCAGUCAAACCAGGGAAAGGUUUUGGGUAACAGACACAACAAUGGAAAUGAUUGUUGAACAAUAUAAAGUUAAUUGUCAAACUUUGGUCCAAUGAUGUUAGUAGCAAAGGGUGAGAUCAAUUUUAAUCCUUGUAACUCGACUCUGUUGCACUGAAAUUACCUCUUGGAUUGGGUCUUGAUACGGACAAAUUAAGGUUAGUUGGUCAAUUGGAUAUUAGAAUGAAUUUUGCUCUUAAUUAUUGAUUCCAUUGUCUGAAUGCAACUUUCAUGAUCAUUAAUCUUGUCAUUAGUAAAUCAAUCGUUGAAUAACAGUUUGAUCAAGAUCAAAUUCAAUGAAUUAGACUAUUGAAUUGCAAAGAAAAAGAUUUCUAUCAUUGUUGGAAUAUUUUACUUCUUCAAAUCAUUCAGAUUUUUAUUCAUGUUUCAUGGUAAGUAUCAAUGUUGGUUAUCAUUUAUGACGAUGACGAUGUGAAUGAUGUGAAAUGAGAAAACCUUUGAGAAGAUGAAAUGAAAAUCAAUUUUCAUGCAUUUAACGUUAUCUUAAUUUUAUCCCUUUUUUACUUUGAUUAUCAGUGGGAGGUUGAAAUCUGAAUCUUUUUUUUCAAGAAACUUUUCAUCUCAAGUUUUUCAUCCAAAUCUUCAUCCAUCAUCUUCAGCCAAAUAUUCAAAAUAAUCAUAAUAACAGUAAUAAUAGAGAUGGAUCAAUUUGAUAAUGGAAAGUAAUUCAAAGGUUUAUUCUGAGCAUAAAGCAUAUUCAAUCAAUUUGGUUCAAUUUUUGUUUAUCUUGUUUCUCUUCAUGAUCAAGAUGAUCAUGUUUGGUUUAAAGCUUCUGCAGCUUACCUAUCAAGGUAUUUAGAUUCAUAUUCAAGUGCUCAAAUGAUAAUCAAUGCAACUGUUUACUGCAAUAUUGGUUUUUACUUUUGUCAUGUUAAAUGGUUCAACUUUUC
Non-coding RNA from Tetranychus urticae (two-spotted spider mite), 1108 nucleotides. Lineage: Eukaryota; Metazoa; Arthropoda; Arachnida; Trombidiformes; Tetranychidae. The record is from RefSeq and is a predicted model, not a curated record.